GUCCUUCGUAUCGGGACCUCCAUCGCGGUAGGCUCCGACGCCUCAACCCUAUUCUGGUUCGACAGAUGGCCAGGUGACCUUGCCUUCGAGGCGCAUUUCCCGGACCUGUUCUCCGCCGCGAUAGAGCCUAGGAUCUCCGUCGAGGUGGCCCUUAUUGACUUAGGGCGCCUUGCUUUCCGUCGGCCGUUUGGCCCCAAAGAGCUUGAUGCUUGGCACGAGCUCCUUGAGUGUAUUACGCUCCAGGAACCAAAUGUUGACCAACAAGUCGACCGCAUCUCCUGGCGCCUGGAGCCUUCAGGUCGGUUCUCCACGAAAUCGCUUUACCAGGCUAUCGCGGCAGUUCCGGGCCCAGAACCCCUCGCGGCGAUCUGGACGGUUAGACUGCCCUUGAAGAUCAAGACCUUCCUCCGGCAAUGGAUCCGCGGCCGGGUACCUUCAGGGGUGGAGGUACUUAAGCGGAAUCACCCGGGUGAUGGAAUGUGCCCAUUGUGUGCGACGGUAGAGGACUCCAACCACAUCUUCUUCACCUGCAGUGUCGCGCAUUUCUUGUGGAUCUGCUUCCGGGAGGCGGUCGGUGGAAGUUGGUGCCACACUAAUUUCCCCGACCUAUUCGCGGAACUCAUCGCCUCACCGAUGCGGCUCCGCCACAUUAGGUGGCUGGGCACUGGGGUGCUCGCCUGA
Molecule: ribosomal RNA, 681 nt
Filed under: Triticum aestivum (bread wheat)
Lineage: Eukaryota; Viridiplantae; Streptophyta; Magnoliopsida; Poales; Poaceae
Description: partial small subunit ribosomal RNA
Source: RNAcentral